RNAcentral lists this long non-coding RNA (1234 nucleotides) under Ananas comosus (pineapple). RNAcentral's name for it is "long non-coding RNA (ACOM_LNC039612)". Lineage: Eukaryota; Viridiplantae; Streptophyta; Magnoliopsida; Poales; Bromeliaceae. The record is from RNAcentral.
UCUUAGUAUGACCCAUCGAGAGCAUAAUUCAGAGAAUCUUAAUUUAUGUCGAUGGCUAUGUGCAUUACUUGUUGUUCACUAAUUAUGAUCAUAUCCAAAUCACUAGAACUCGGUGCCCAGAUGUUUGUAGAUCUAAAUUUGGAUAGCAGAUCCCUGAGCAUGGACCAUACGGUGAGGAGACACUGCAUGUGUACAUGUAGUACAUUCUUAAUUGUAGUUACUCGUAUUGUGUUAUUGACUGUUUUGUUAAGGAUUUUAUAGGUUGGCGAAUUUCGUAAAGUUGAUUGGAGUCUUGAAGAGUUGAUUGCAGAAGUUUUGAAAAAAAGAUUCAAAUUGAAGAACAAAGACUCAUUCGGAAAGCUCGACACCUAAGGUAUAAAGAAAAGAUCAUUUGUGGUGAAUAUACCUAAUUAGAAUAAGUUCAGAAGGCAUAGAUGGCUUUAAAACUACUUUACUGAACUUUUCUGUGUUCAGGGACCGGUCCCUGAGGUCAAGAGACCGGUUCCCCUAAGGUCCUCACUGCGUGAACCUUGAUGCAACCGGUCCCCUGUGAUGAGAGACCGGUUCCCGAACCAUGGUGUUUCUGUCGCGCAGCAAGGGACCGGUCUCAAGCUUGAGAGACCGGUUCCCGAACGUUGGGAUUUUGGUCACGCAGUGAGGGACCGGUUCCUCACUUGAGAGACCGGUCUCUCACAGACCGGUCUCCUCGAGAAGACCGGUCUCUGAGGACGACACAGGUUUUUAAAAAGGACUUUUUGCAAUCCUAGUCUACUUCUAAGUCUUCUAAACAUAUAAAUAAGCUAUGUGGGUCAUCUAAAAGAAUAAGGCUUUGAAUAUUUACUGAUUCUAAACCCUAGAAACUUAUUUUUCUCCGUUUCAAUGCUUAGAUUCACAUAACGAGUUUCUAACAAUCAACAAUCGGCUUGAUUCUUCGUUUUUACUCGAUAACUCAUACGAGAAUCAAGUAGAUGUUUGAUUAAAGGUGAACCCUCAUAGCUUAUGGUAUUCAAAGGUUAAAUCAUCACAAAUCUUCGAUUCUACAAGCUCCGGAAGGAGGUUCGACGCGUGGAUCUCGCGUGAAGCCGAGGAUUCGGUAGACGCUUCGAGGAAUUGAGGCGUUGACGCUGCGAGAAGUUGCAGCAAGGUCGAUUGGUGGAUUCCUAUCGAUCGGGGACCGGCGAAGAUCACCAUCAAUAAGAAAUCGGUAAAUUGAGUUGUGUAUUUCUGUCAAAAU